RNAcentral lists this ribosomal RNA (275 nucleotides) under uncultured Flavobacterium sp. RNAcentral describes it as "partial 16S ribosomal RNA". It matches the Rfam family "Bacterial small subunit ribosomal RNA", at positions 338 to 610 of the family's 1533-position model. Lineage: Bacteria; Pseudomonadati; Bacteroidota; Flavobacteriia; Flavobacteriales; Flavobacteriaceae. The record is from RNAcentral.
CCUACGGGUGGCUGCAGUGAGGAAUAUUGGACAAUGGGCGCAAGCCUGAUCCAGCCAUGCCGCGUGCAGGAAGACGCAUCUAUGGUGUGUAAACUGCUUUUGUACGGGAAGAAACACUCCCUCGUGAGGGAGCUUGACGGUACCGUAAGAAUAAGGAUCGGCUAACUCCGUGCCAGCAGCCGCGGUAAUACGGAGGAUCCAAGCGUUAUCCGGAAUCAUUGGGUUUAAAGGGUCCGUAGGCGGUUUAAUAAGUCAGUGGUGAAAGCCCAUCGCUC